RNAcentral lists this ribosomal RNA (491 nucleotides) under uncultured bacterium. Its description in RNAcentral is "partial 16S ribosomal RNA". It matches the Rfam family "Bacterial small subunit ribosomal RNA", at positions 28 to 507 of the family's 1533-position model. The record is from RNAcentral.
GAUGAACGCUGGCUACAGGCUUAACACAUGCAAGUCGAGGGGAAACGACGGGGAAGCUUGCUUCCCCGGGCGUCGACCGGCGCACGGGUGAGUAACGCGUAUCCAACCUGCCUCUGACUGAGGGAUAACCCGUCGAAAGUCGGCCUAAUACCUCAUGGUAUCGUCUGCGGGCAUCCAACGACGAUUAAAGAUUUCAUCGGUCAGGGAUGGGGAUGCGUCUGAUUAGCUUGUUGGCGGGGUAACGGCCCACCAAGGCUACGAUCAGUAGGGGUUCUGAGAGGAAGGUCCCCCACAUUGGAACUGAGACACAGUCCACACUCCUACGGGAGGCAGCAGUGAGGAAUACUGGGCAAUGGGCGAGAGCCUGAACCAGCCAAGUAGCGUGCAGGAAGACGGCCCUAUGGGUUGUAAACUGCUUUUAUGCGGGGAUAAAGUGAGGGACGUGUCCCUCAUUGCAGGUACCGCAUGAAUAAGGACCGGCUAAUUCCGUG